CAGCAGGAUGGCUUCACGGCUCUUCUGCUGUCCUGAGCUCCUCUUUGUCGAAUCCUAUUCCCAGUGGGCCCAGCUGACAGCCAAGAGCUGUUCUCAUGUUCAUCCAGCCUGUGAUCUCAGGGGGUUUCUGGCCACAGUCACCCUGAGCCCGUCGUCCUUCCACCUCCGAGUGAGGCCCCCUGAGCCCCAGGCUUCCCUCCCCAUCAGAGCGCCCACACCUGGCCCCACCCCCGAGGAAGGACUCACUGCAUCUCACUUACUCUAGGGCCAGAAGGACCAGCAGGACCAGAAGCACCUUGGUCUCCAGAAGGACCCUGAGCAGAAGGAAGAAGCAAAAGUCAGAGCUUUUACUGAAUUAAGGAUACUCACAGCUUCUCCUCGGUCUCCCUGCUUUCCAGUUGGGCCAGCGGGGCCAGGAGAGCCAGGGGGCCCAGGGGCUCCAGGAGCACCCACGGGACCAGUCUCACCACGAUCACCCUGUCAGGAGAGAGGUCUCAGGCUUAGAGAAGAAUGUUCCAGAAAAUCCAUGGAGAAAAGGCCCUUGAAACUGAGACAAGACUCUGACUCCAGCCUACCACCUGGGGCUGACCUGGUAGGCCCAACAGAAUAUUCUCCUGUCCCACUGCUCAUAGAGACACCGAGAUAUUCACCUUGACUCCAGCCGCACCAUCUCUGCCAGGGGGGCCAUCAGCACCAGGGCUUCCCUGGACAAGAGGAAACAAGAUGCCGUUAGAGCUGCCCCUGCCAGACUCCCAUUCUGUUCCUCCCUUCUCCUGUCGGGAGCCCCAGGCUUGUUCCCUUCCAUCCUGCUAAAGCUUUGGAAGCUCAACAAGCUUCGUUCUGCCUUCC
This is a long non-coding RNA of Herpailurus yagouaroundi (jaguarundi), 849 nucleotides long. RefSeq lists it as uncharacterized. The transcript has 2 exons. NCBI's taxonomy places the organism in Eukaryota, Metazoa, Chordata, Mammalia, Carnivora, Felidae. The record is from RefSeq and is a predicted model, not a curated record.